GGGGAGGGCGGGCCGCCGGGGCAGCGGAAGGCUGGGCUAGCUUCUCGAGCGGCAGCCCCCGGGGAAGGCCGAGGGCCGCGCGCGGGACAUGGCGAAGCGGAGCCCGGGGGGGCACCGUGCAGCAGCACCGCUGCCAAGGAGGAUACAAGAAACCUGACAGAGGGAUGUGAUGGAUUACCUUCCCUCAAGUGAACUUUCUCCUAUUCCCCUCAAUUACCAGUUUUUGAUCUACAGGAUGAGAUCGUCCAUCUGUGUGCCUUUCACGUGAUUAUCUUGAAUCAGAUCCGGAUGCACCUGUUCCACAGUUACUUGUGCUGGAUCCACUUGUACCUGAAUUACUGGUAGUACAUGGACUUGCUCCACUUGUUCUAUAAUAG
This is a long non-coding RNA of Chrysemys picta bellii (western painted turtle), 377 nucleotides long. RefSeq lists it as uncharacterized. NCBI's taxonomy places the organism in Eukaryota, Metazoa, Chordata, Testudines, Emydidae. The record is from RefSeq and is a predicted model, not a curated record.